This 742-nucleotide small RNA is filed under the name Pongo abelii (Sumatran orangutan). RNAcentral's name for it is "processed transcript". The record is from RNAcentral. Lineage: Eukaryota; Metazoa; Chordata; Mammalia; Primates; Hominidae.
CUGCUCUUCUGUUCCUCUUUCCCUGGAAGCUGCUAGCAGGCCUGGACAGCGAGUCCGCCUCCAGCAGCAUCCGCUUCAGCAAGGCCUGCCUGAAGAACGUCUUCUCGGUCCUGCUCAUCUUCAUCUACCUGCUGCUCAUGGCUGUGGCCGUCUUCCUGGUCUACCAGACCAUCACAGACUUUCGUGAGAAACUCAAGCACCCUGUCAUGUCUGUGUCUUACAAGGAAGUGGAUCGCUAUGAUGCCCCAGGUAUUGCCCUGUACCCCGGUCAGGCCCAGUUGCUCAGCUGUAAGCACCAUUACGAGGUCAUUCCUCCUCUGACAAGCCCUGGCCAGCCGGGUGACAUGAAUUGCACCACCCAGAGGAUCAACUACACGGACCCCUUCUCCAAUCAGACUGUGAAAUCUGCCCUGAUUGUCCAGGGGCCCCGGGAGGUGAAAAAGCGGGAGCUGGUCUUCCUCCAGUUCCGCCUGAACAAGAGUAGUGAGGACUUCAGCGCCAUUGAUUACCUCCUCUUCUCUUCUUUCCAGGAGUUCCUGCAAAGCCCAAACAGGGUAGGCUUCAUGCAAGCCUGUGAGAGUGCCUAUUCCAGCUGGAAGUUCUCUGGGGGCUUCCGCACCUGGGUCAAGAUGUCACUGGUGAAGACCAAGGAGGAGGAUGGGCGGGAAGCAGUGGAGUUCCGGCAGGAGACAAGUGUGGUUAACUACAUUGACCAGAGGCCAGCUGCCGAAAAAAGUGCUCA